This 476-nucleotide ribosomal RNA is filed under the name uncultured organism. RNAcentral describes it as "partial 16S ribosomal RNA". It matches the Rfam family "Bacterial small subunit ribosomal RNA", at positions 332 to 799 of the family's 1533-position model. The record is from RNAcentral.
UACACUCCUACGGGAGGCAGCAGUGGGGAAUAUUGCACAAUGGGCGCAAGCCUGAUGCAGCCAUGCCGCGUGUAUGAAGAAGGCCUUCGGGUUGUAAAGUACUUUCAGCGGGGAGGAAGGCAAUACGGUUAAUAACCGUGUUGAUUGACGUUACCCGCAGAAGAAGCACCGGCUAACUCCGUGCCAGCAGCCGCGGUAAUACGGAGGGUGCAAGCGUUAAUCGGAAUUACUGGGCGUAAAGCGCACGCAGGCGGUCUGUCAAGUCGGAUGUGAAAUCCCCGGGCUCAACCUGGGAACUGCAUUCGAAACUGGCAGGCUUGAGUCUUGUAGAGGGGGGUAGAAUUCCAGGUGUAGCGGUGAAAUGCGUAGAGAUCUGGAGGAAUACCGGUGGCGAAGGCGGCCCCCUGGACAAAGACUGACGCUCAGGUGCGAAAGCGUGGGGAGCAAACAGGAUUAGAAAUCCUAGUAGUCCCAUG